AUGCUCGGCACGAAGCUGUGGCCUGUGGUCAUCAUGUCGGCACUGCCCAGCUUUGCGCUCCUCCGGCUCGCUAGCUUGAUUGCCAUGCUGGUGCAACAAGCUCGUUUGCUCCCAGUGGCUGUGGCGCGGACCAAUCUGACUGCGGGGGAUACCUUGAGGCCGCCCGACUGCAUCACCAGCCCGUCCGGCGGGUUUGCCUUCGGUUUCCGUGCCCACGACUCCGAUCCGACCAAGUUCCUCCUCGCCACAUGGUUCCGCUUCGGUGAAGGCAACUCUUCCCCACAGUCGGUGGUGUGGUUUGCAAAAGCGUCCUCCAUGGGCGCCACGCCCAACGCCAGGGCGCGGUCCGUCCUCAGCAUCCCGGCCGAUGGCCAGCUCAUGCUCACCGAUGGCAGCGUAGAGCUGUGGAAGGCCCCAACCCCCAGCAUGAAGCGUGGAUUCGUCCUCGUGCUAAGAGACUCCGGAAAUGUCCAGUUCCUCGGAGAUGGCGGCAUGCUCUGGGAGAGCUUUGGAUUCCCGACAGACACGCUCCUGUCGGGGCAAUCUUUGCAGGGGUUUCUCUUCUCCAAGCGCGCGGACACAGAGUUCACCACUGGUCGGUUCAGCCUGGCUGCCCAAAACGACGGUAACGUCGUCCUCUGCGUCGACCUCUUCACCGGUAACAUAUUGGAAAACGCAUACUGGGAUACGCGCACCAACGGCCCCAAUGGCAACACAACUAUCACCUUCGACGAGCGUGGCAACCUCAGCUACACACUCUACGAUGGCACCGUCCACAGCUUGAUUUCUCCCGUCGCCGCCGACAGGAACUACUUCCAGUUCGUCAGGAUGGACCCCGACGGCAUCGUCCGUGCCUACGUCCGCCCUAAGAACGGUGACGGCCGCGAGAACACAACAUCUUGGACCAUGUCGGGCACGCUCCCUAGUGAAGGGGGCUGCAAGAUGAAGACGACCAGGAUGCAAGGCAUGUGCGGCCCCGGGUCUUACUGUGUGGAGACCAAAGAACGGCUCAAGUGCCUGAGCCCGAGCGGGUACACUUAUAUCGACGCGCAGCACAGCGACAGCGGCUGCACGCCAGAGUUGGAGCCGCAGAGCUGUGGCGAGCAGAACAACCCCGACAAGUUCUCGCUCGUAGAGCUGCCAAACACCACUUGGGAGGUGUCAAUAUACUACAAGAAGUUCCCGUCAGUCUCGGAGGAGCAAUGCCGGGAUUACUGCCUCAGCGACUGCUUCUGCGUGGCCGCGCUGAUGAUCGGUGGGUCCGACUGUGCAGAGUUGGGGGCACUCGCGUAUGGACGGCAGGGAAACAACCUGACGACAAAGGCGCUGAUCAAGGUACGGACAAGGAAUUCUCAGGUGAUUACGUCAGCAAGAAUGAGAAAUGUACUGGCCAACAAGGUUGUGGCCAUUUGCUUGGGCAUUCUUUUGUUGAUCACAGUCGGUGGCCACCGACUUCUGGCACAUCAUUACCUCGUCAGGAACAGAGAUAGCCAGAGGUUGUUGAGCUCGAGCGUAAGAGCAUUCAGCUGGAAGGAGCUUUACCAAGCCACCAAUGGCUUCGAGAAACUGCUGGGCAAAGGGAGCUUCGGGGAGGUCUACAAAGGAACGAUAAGAUCACCGCAGCCGCAUCUCAUCGCAGUGAAGAAGCUCAUCGACUCAAACGAGUAUAGCGAGCAGGAGUUCACGAACGAGGUACAGUCCAUCGGGCAGAUCCACCACCGGAACUUGGUCCGUAUGAUCGGCUACUGCAAAGAAGGCAAGCACCGGAUGCUGGUUUUCGAGUUCAUGCCAGGCGGGUCGCUCCGUGGCGUCCUCUUCAACCCAGAGAGGCGGCCUUCGUGGCGCUGGCGUGCUGUAGCCGCCCUUGCCAUCGCCCGGGGGCUUGAGUACCUCCACGAUGGCUGCAGCGCACCGAUCAUCCAUUGCGACAUCAAGCCCGACAACAUCCUGCUGGACGACCGUGGAGUCCCGAGGAUCACCGACUUUGGGAUCUCCAAGCUACUGGGGAGCCAGCAGGUGCACACAACAGUGACCCACAUCAGGGGCACCAGAGGGUACAUUGCGCCCGAGUGGCUCCGCAGCGACGCGCGCGUGGAUACCAAGGCGGAUGUGUACAGCUUCGGCGUCGUGCUGCUGGAGAUGAUCUGCUGCCGGAGGUGUCAGGAGCCGGUGUCUCAUCCUGACUUGCCACAGGGUGAGGAGGAGGAUGAUGAGACGGUCACGUUGUUCGGUUGGGCAGCGCAGCUGGUGGCCACGCAGAGGACAGAGCUGAUGCUGCACGGCAAUGCUGACGUAGACACUGUUGAGGACAUGGAGAGGGUGGAGCGGUUCACGCGCGUGGCGCUCUGGUGCAUCGAGCCAAACCCGCUGCUGCGGCCAACCAUGCACCAGGUGGUGCAGAUGCUGGAGACCAAUGACCCGGCUCAGCUUCAGGCACUGCCGCACCACCCUCCAGACUGUUAUAUGGAAUCCUCGCCUUUAAUUCCUCAGCUCAAGAUGGCAUGUUAG
This 2508-nucleotide ribosomal RNA is filed under the name Triticum aestivum (bread wheat). RNAcentral describes it as "partial small subunit ribosomal RNA". Lineage: Eukaryota; Viridiplantae; Streptophyta; Magnoliopsida; Poales; Poaceae. The record is from RNAcentral.